RNAcentral lists this ribosomal RNA (468 nucleotides) under uncultured bacterium. RNAcentral's name for it is "partial 16S ribosomal RNA". It matches the Rfam family "Bacterial small subunit ribosomal RNA", at positions 28 to 507 of the family's 1533-position model. The record is from RNAcentral.
GACGAACGCUGGCGGCGUGCUUAACACAUGCAAGUCGAACGGAAAGGCCCUGCUUUUGUGGGGAGCUCGAGUGGCGAACGGGUGAGUAACACGUGAGUAACCUGCCCUUGACUUUGGGAUAACUUCAGGAAACUGGGGCUAAUACCGGAUAGGAGCUCCUGCUGCAUGGUGGGGGUUGGAAAGUUUCGGCGGUUGGGGAUGGACUCGCGGCUUAUCAGCUUGUUGGUGGGGUAGUGGCUUACCAAGGCUUUGACGGGUAGCCGGCCUGAGAGGGUGACCGGCCACAUUGGGACUGAGAUACGGCCCAGACUCCUACGGGAGGCAGCAGUGGGGAAUAUUGCACAAUGGGCGGAAGCCUGAUGCAGCAACGCCGCGUGCGGGAUGACGGCCUUCGGGUUGUAAACCGCUUUCGCCUGUGACGAAGCGUGGGUGACGGUAAUGGGUAAAGAAGCACCGGCUAACUACGUG